This 253-nucleotide ribosomal RNA is filed under the name uncultured bacterium. Its description in RNAcentral is "partial 16S ribosomal RNA". It matches the Rfam family "Bacterial small subunit ribosomal RNA", at positions 524 to 776 of the family's 1533-position model. The record is from RNAcentral.
UACGUAGGGUGCGAGCGUUAAUCGGAAUUACUGGGCGUAAAGUGUGCGCAGGUGGCCGCGCAAGUCGAGUGUGAAAUCCCCGAGCUUAACUUGGGAAUUGCGCUCGAAACUACGUGGCUCGAGUGUGGCAGAGGAAGGUGGAAUUCCACGUGUAGCGGUGAAAUGCGUAGAUAUGUGGAGGAAUACCGAUGGCGAAGGCAGCCCCCUGGGAUAACACUGACGCUCAUGCACGAAAGCGUGGGGAGCAAACAGG